RNAcentral lists this ribosomal RNA (420 nucleotides) under uncultured bacterium. Its description in RNAcentral is "bacterial SSU rRNA". It matches the Rfam family "Bacterial small subunit ribosomal RNA", at positions 362 to 773 of the family's 1533-position model. The record is from RNAcentral.
UUUUGGACAAUGGGCGCAAGCCUGAUCCAGCCAUUCCGCGUGCAGGAUGAAGGCCCUCGGGUUGUAAACUGCUUUUGUACGGAACGAAACGGCGCUUUCUAAUACAGGGCGCUAAUGACGGUACCGUAAGAAUAAGCACCGGCUAACUACGGUCCAGCAGCCGCGGUAAUACGUAGGGUGGCAAGCGUUGUUCGGAAUUACUGGGCGUAAAGGGCGCGUAGGCGGCCAUCUAAGUCAGACGUGAAAUCCCCCGGCUUAACCUGGGAACUGCGUCUGAUACUGGACGGCUUGAGUUUGGGAGAGGGAUGCAGAAUUCCAGGUGUAGCGGUGAAAUGCGUAGAUAUCUGGAGGAAUACCGGUGGCGAAGGCGGCAUCCUGGACCAACACUGACGCUGAGGCGCGAAAGCUAGGGGAGCAAAC